GGUGGCUCAGAGGUAGAGUGAUUGCCUUGCAUGCAUGAGGUCCUGGGUUCGAUUCCCCAGCACCA
RNAcentral lists this transfer RNA (65 nucleotides) under Dipodomys ordii (Ord's kangaroo rat). It matches the Rfam family "tRNA". From Rfam's summary of the family: Transfer RNA (tRNA) molecules are approximately 80 nucleotides in length. Their secondary structure includes four short double-helical elements and three loops (D, anti-codon, and T loops). Lineage: Eukaryota; Metazoa; Chordata; Mammalia; Rodentia; Heteromyidae. The record is from Rfam by way of RNAcentral.